This 339-nucleotide long non-coding RNA is filed under the name Setaria viridis. Its description in RNAcentral is "long non-coding RNA (SVIR_LNC004191)". Lineage: Eukaryota; Viridiplantae; Streptophyta; Magnoliopsida; Poales; Poaceae. The record is from RNAcentral.
UCGAUGCAGCCCCGCCAACCCGUACGAACUCGUGAAAAAGAAGAAAAGUAUUAGCGAAGUCGCCGGCUUGAAAGUAAGUACGAGGAAAUAGUAGUUUGUUGUAUUGAGUUGAUGAUGAUUAUAGAUCUACAAGGGUAGCUAUUUAUAGCCUGUUACAAACGACUUCUUAUCCGACUAGAACUCUAUCUCUAAUUUUAAACAAAAAACAAAUAUUUACAACUACGACUGGUACUAGGUCGAUUAUCGUGCUCUUCAUGGGUUGACUCCCUCUUCAUCUUCAUAAUCCUCUUUAGGCCCACACCAGCCCAAUCGCUCCAACCUCCUAAUCGGCCGAUUUCU